CAUGUAAUAAAAAUCUACAUCCCAACGAGUCUUAAAGGGCUUCUCCAGCAAGUGUGUCUCUCUUGGAUGCAACUCCUUGGACACAGGAACUUACUAAGGCUGAUAAGGCCCUGAGCGUAUCAGUGGGCCCUUGGGAGCCUAAAAGCUACUGGAGGUGGCUGAGCUCGUUCUCCAACAAUAUGUCAUCGCUCCAGAUGUCUUAGGCCUCCUCUUCUGAAACUACUGUCAAAAUCUCUGGCACGUUUUUUGAAUGUCCUCAAUGAAGAAAAAUCUUAAUCUUUUGAGGAGGAAUUGGAUCUUUUGAAACUUCCAGUGGUUUUCAGAAUCUAACUGAGUGGACAAUGAGGUGAGUGGGAAAAUGGGCAAGAUUUAAAAAAAUAAAUUACCACGGUACUAUUACAAAACCACGAGGCUGAUUUUCUUGUGUGACUAGUAAAUAGCACAGAAUAUGAGAACAAUUCUCCCAGAAUAAACAGUUAGAUUUUAAGCUGCAGUAGAUCAUUAGGAUAUGCAGAUUAAUGAACCUGAUGGCCAGGUUGAGACACUUAUACUCCGAAGUGUAUGUGUGCAUAUGUAAUCUAGGCUCAUUACUUACGAGUGAUGCCACUUAAAUGAAAACAUUUGCAUAUUUUUAAAGAAAACUCAGCUUGAGAUAAAGAAAUAAAACAAAAUCUAUGUAUUGACAUUCAUGGGCUUAAUUAAUUAUAACAGCCCAGGGAGGACUCUGCCUCUUUUAAAACAAUGUCAUUUUAUUCAUUUAAAAUAAGUAAUACAUACUUUUUAUACAGAAAUCAGAAAGCCCAGAAAUUUCUUUACUCAGAGCUAUUCCCUCAUAAUAUAUAUGUUUUUAAUAGACUUAAUUUUUUAGAGCGGUUUUAGGUUCACAGCAAAAUUGAGCAGGUCAGAGAGUUCCCAUAUACCCACUUUCCCAACACGUGCAGAUCCUCCCCCAUUAUCAACAUUUCCUGCCAGAGAAGACAUUUGUUACAACUGAUGAACCUGCAUCAAGACAACAUUAUCAUCCAAAGUCCAUAGUUUACAGUGGGGUUCAUUCUUGUAUAUACCAUGGGUUUGGACAAAUGUAUAAUGACAUGUAUCCACUAAAGUAUGAUAUAGAAUAGUUUCAUUGCCCCCCUAAUCUACCAUGUUCCAUCUCUUCAUUAUAUUUUGAUCUAAAUAUAUCUUAGAUUGGGUUCCCUGGAAACAGACUCUGAGAACUGCCUGCUGAAUGCUUACUGGGAGCAUGCUUUCAGGAGAUGCUCCUUGUAAGAAAGUAAGGAAGGACUGUGCUGUGCAGAAAAGAAUCUGGCUCCAGAUGCAGUUGCAACUGAGACUCAUCCAAUCAUGGAGGGAGCUGUGGAGCUGGGAUGGCCCUUUAGAAUUGACCCAAAGUAAGGGCCAUGGACGAUUCCCAAUAGGGGAUGCAGCUGUGUGCUAUCAGCAGUGAUAUUCCCAGCAGCUGGAGAGAGACGUGUAUACUUCACAAAGGGAAGCUGGGCAAAGACUGCAUUCAGUAUCCACUGUAAUGUCAUGUCAAAAUUGUGAUCACACAGUCCAUGCAAUUUCUCAACCUACUUUUUCACUUAACAUUAUUUGAUGAAUUUUUCCCAUUUUGUUAACUUCUCUUUGAAAUCAACAUUUUAAAUAUCUGCUUAUUUUAUCAUAUGAAAGUAUCAUUUAUUUAACUGUUCUCUUAUUAUUGAAUAAUUUUUGACACAUUUUCACUAUAAUAAUAUAAUGAACAUCUUUAUAUCUUUGUAAUAUACAUGAUACUAAUAAAAAUAAACUGUA
Macaca mulatta (Rhesus monkey) is the source of this 1791-nucleotide non-coding RNA. The record is from RefSeq and is a predicted model, not a curated record. Lineage: Eukaryota; Metazoa; Chordata; Mammalia; Primates; Cercopithecidae.